CAGGUCAUCGGAUAAACAGGUAAAUAGAUAAUCAGAUAAUCAGGCAAUCAGGUAAACAGAUAAUCAGAUAAUCAGGCAAUCAGGUAAACAGAUAAUCAGAUAAUCAGGCAAUCAGGUAAACAGAUCAUUGAUUUUUGUAUUUCAGUUUGAAUGUUUCACAACGUA
Molecule: long non-coding RNA, 165 nt
Organism: Haliotis rufescens (red abalone)
Lineage: Eukaryota; Metazoa; Mollusca; Gastropoda; Lepetellida; Haliotidae
Exons: 2
Source: RefSeq, a predicted model, not a curated record